Molecule: ribosomal RNA, 253 nt
Filed under: uncultured bacterium
Lineage: Bacteria
Description: partial 16S ribosomal RNA
Rfam family: Bacterial small subunit ribosomal RNA
Source: RNAcentral
UACGAAGGGGGCUAGCGUUGCUCGGAAUCACUGGGCGUAAAGGGUGCGUAGGCGGGUCUUUAAGUCAGGGGUGAAAUCCUGGAGCUCAACUCCAGAACUGCCUUUGAUACUGAAGAUCUUGAGUCCGGGAGAGGUGAGUGGAACUGCGAGUGUAGAGGUGAAAUUCGUAGAUAUUCGCAAGAACACCAGUGGCGAAGGCGGCUUACUGGUCCGGUUCUGACGCUGAGGCGCGAAAGCGUGGGGAGCAAACAGG